This 1407-nucleotide long non-coding RNA is filed under the name Bemisia tabaci. RNAcentral's name for it is "lncRNA ENSASIAIIG003755". Lineage: Eukaryota; Metazoa; Arthropoda; Insecta; Hemiptera; Aleyrodidae. The record is from RNAcentral.
AAAUAUUGGGACCAAAAAACGUCUUCUAAUAUAGCUUUGACUGCUGGAUGCGGAGGUUUUCGUUGAACUGCCUUUUUAGCCGAGCUUUUCGGAGACGGUUUGCCGACAUCUGGGGAUCGAAGGGCUAUUUUAGGUGUGAAUGAAAGUCGAGGCGACUUGGAUGGCGAUUUUGUGGGAGAUGAUUUUUUUGGAGUAGAUUUCUUGGGUGAGGCUUUCUUAGCGCUUUUGGCCAAAGGACUGAUGACCUUGGGCCCAACGGCUGCUUUGACAGGGGUCACUUUUGUGACUGCUUUUUCUUUGCUUACACCUGGGGCAGGCUGCGACUUCCUUGACACAGCACUGGGUUUACCCAUGAGAGAAGUUUAGGAACAGGUAUUUUUGUAGACAUUCGAGCAGCUUUGGUAGGAACGGAUUUGGAAACGACCACUUUACUGGGUGUCGGUUUGGCUGGAGCAACCUUGCUCGGAGUUGCUUUGACAGGCGAUUUUUUAGCGGGAGUAGGUUUUGCUUGAACAGUUUUUGAUGGUGUAGCCUUUGCAGGAGAGGCUUUGGCUGCGACAACUUUUUGGGGGUUGCUUUUGCUGGAGUUGAUUUGACAGCAGAUUUUGCUGGAGUUUUCUUGACUGGCACAACUUUAGGGGUGGCUUUGGAUGGUGUGGAUUUUAGUGGUGCAGCCUUAAUAGGGGUGGUUUUCACUGGUGUUACUUUAGCAACAUCUCCGAUGGAUUUGAUUUUUGCAGCAGAAGCUUUGGCUUUCGGUGUGCUUUUGAUGACAGCUUUAGUGGGUGUCGAUUUUCCAGCUGCCAAUGAAACCGCGGCAGCUACCGGUUUCUUCAGAGCCUCAUCGCUGAAAGAACUGUGUGCUAAACCCAUGGGUUCCUUCACACUUUUCCUUCUCUGGGGAGAUACAACAGCAAUCAACUUUUUCGGAGGUUCAGACAGUCUUUUCUUCGGGCUUUUCAUGGUUAGUCAAACACGAUCUGUCAAUUAUAGUUCCUGAAAUAACAGAAUAAUUUACUUGGUAAAUGAGGAUAGAGAGGAGGUAAAAAAGUGGAACUGUGGAAAUAGCACUACAUAUCUAUUUACGACUGAGAUUAAAUGUCAUUGAAUGUUGAGCAUGGUUCUUCUUAGUUAUGGCUUAAGGCAAUGCAUCAAAAUUAUCAAAGGAUAGCACAACCUAAAAAUAGAGGAUAGCAAAUAUAUUUCACUUAACUUGGAACAUAAAUAAACUGUCAUAUUUAUGAACAAAAUCAAAAGAUAAACUGUAAAGGAGAGAAAUUGUUUUAAUUGGUCAAGCAUUGUUCCUCUUAAAUCUCUGCCAUCAAAAUUGUAUCGUGCAAGGAUCAUAUGCUUUGCUCCACGAAAGAUUUCAACAUGACGUAAAAUUAUUUGACAGUUGCUGUCAUU